Molecule: ribosomal RNA, 468 nt
Filed under: uncultured bacterium
Lineage: Bacteria
Description: partial 16S ribosomal RNA
Rfam family: Bacterial small subunit ribosomal RNA
Source: RNAcentral
GACGAACGCUGGCGGCGUGCUUAACACAUGCAAGUCGAACGGAAAGGCCCUGCUUUUGUGGGGUGCUCGAGUGGCGAACGGGUGAGUAACACGUGAGUAACCUGCCCUUGACUUUGGGAUAACUUCAGGAAACUGGGGCUAAUACCGGAUAGGAGCGCCUGCUGCAUGGUGGGGGUUGGAAAGUUUCGGCGGUUGGGGAUGGACUCGCGGCUUAUCAGCUUGUUGGUGGGGUAGUGGCUUACCAAGGCUUUGACGGGUAGCCGGCCUGAGAGGGUGACCGGCCACAUUGGGACUGAGAUACGGCCCAGACUCCUACGGGAGGCAGCGGUGGGGAAUAUUGCACAAUGGGCGGAAGCCUGAUGCAGCAACGCCGCGUGCGGGAUGACGGCCUUCGGGUUGUAAACCGCUUUCGCCUGUGACGAAGCGUGAGUGACGGUAAUGGGUAAAGAAGCACCGGCUAACUACGUG